GACGUAGGGCGCGAGCGUUGUCCGGAUUUAUUGGGCGUAAAGAGCUCGUAGGCGGCUUGUCGCGUCGACCGUGAAAACUUGGGGCUCAACCCCAAGCCUGCGGUCGAUACGGGCAGGCUCGAGUUCGGUAGGGGAGACUGGAAUUCCUGGUGUAGCGGUGAAAUGCGCAGAUAUCAGGAGGAACACCGAUGGCGAAGGCAGGUCUCUGGGCCGAUACUGACGCUGAGGAGCGAAAGCGUGGGGAGCGAACUGG
This 253-nucleotide ribosomal RNA is filed under the name uncultured bacterium. RNAcentral describes it as "partial 16S ribosomal RNA". It matches the Rfam family "Bacterial small subunit ribosomal RNA", at positions 524 to 776 of the family's 1533-position model. The record is from RNAcentral.